CCUACGGGAGGCUGCAGUGGGGAAUAUUGGACAAUGGGGGCAACCCUGAUCCAGCCAUGCCGCGUGUGUGAAGAAGGCCCUCGGGUUGUAAAGCACUUUCAGUGAGGAAGAACGCCUGGUGGUUAAUACCCAUCAGGAAAGACAUCACUCACAGAAGAAGCACCGGCUAACUCCGUGCCAGCAGCCGCGGUAAUACGGAGGGUGCGAGCGUUAAUCGGAAUUACUGGGCGUAAAGCGCGCGUAGGUGGCUUGAUAAGCCGGUUGUGAAAGCCCCGGGCUCAACCUGGGAACGGCAUCCGGAACUGUCAAGCUAGAGUGUAGGAGAGGAAGGUAGAAUUCCCGGUGUAGCGGUGAAAUGCGUAGAGUUCGGGAGGAAUACCAGUGGCGAAGGCGGCCUUCUGGACUGACACUGACACUGAGGUGCGAAAGCGUGGGUAGAAAACAGGAUUAGAUACCCCGGUAGUC
This 465-nucleotide ribosomal RNA is filed under the name Vreelandella stevensii. RNAcentral's name for it is "partial 16S ribosomal RNA". It matches the Rfam family "Bacterial small subunit ribosomal RNA", at positions 338 to 795 of the family's 1533-position model. The record is from RNAcentral. Lineage: Bacteria; Pseudomonadati; Pseudomonadota; Gammaproteobacteria; Oceanospirillales; Halomonadaceae.